Molecule: transfer RNA, 75 nt
Filed under: Akkermansiaceae bacterium
Lineage: Bacteria; Pseudomonadati; Verrucomicrobiota; Verrucomicrobiia; Verrucomicrobiales; Akkermansiaceae
Description: tRNA-Cys
Rfam family: tRNA
About the family: Transfer RNA (tRNA) molecules are approximately 80 nucleotides in length. Their secondary structure includes four short double-helical elements and three loops (D, anti-codon, and T loops).
Source: RNAcentral
GGGGAGAUGCCCGAGCGGAUAGGGAGCGGACUGCAAAUCCGCUGUAGGUCGGUUCGACUCCGACUCUCCCCUCCA